GGAGGCAACACUGGCGUCAGUGAUGUGAGGAGAAGGCGGCACCAAGGUGAUGGGAGGAUGCUGUGGCAGCAGCAGUGAUGUGAGGAGGAAGCAGCAGUGGCGGUGGAAGGAGGAUGAGGACAAGGAGAGGGUUGCAGGGGUUGGAGCGCCUGCGCGGAGAGAGGAAGAGGACACACUGAUGUAGGACAAGAAGCAAGACCAUGGGAAGAUCCUUGUGGAGAACAAUUAUGAAGAUUCGAGCCAAGGGAUUGUUGGGUUUAGUUAGUAGUUUAUUAUGUGUUUAAUUUAAUAAGCAUAGUAUCAUGUGAAUUGGGGGGCUUGUUUGUAGUUUUUGUGUUCUAUACGGGUUGUAGUGUAGUGUGGUUUUAGAGGUAUAUGUGUAAUUUCUUGUGUUAGAGGCUUUCAUAUAAAUAGUGUGUGAAAGCCAUGUUGUAAGUAGGUUGGUGAAUUUGAAUUUAAAGUGAACAUGAGUUUCCCCCUUGUA
Long non-coding RNA from Malania oleifera, 484 nucleotides. RefSeq lists it as uncharacterized. Lineage: Eukaryota; Viridiplantae; Streptophyta; Magnoliopsida; Santalales; Ximeniaceae. The record is from RefSeq and is a predicted model, not a curated record. The transcript is spliced from 2 exons.